Molecule: ribosomal RNA, 262 nt
Filed under: uncultured bacterium
Lineage: Bacteria
Description: partial 16S ribosomal RNA
Rfam family: Bacterial small subunit ribosomal RNA
Source: RNAcentral
GCGGUAAUACGAAGGGUGCAAGCGUUACUCGGAAUUACUGGGCGUAAAGAGUUGCGUAGGUGGUUUGUUAAGUAGAUAGUGAAAGCUGACGGCUCAACCGUACAGACUAUUAUCUAAACUGGCAAGCUCGAGAAUGGUAGAGGUAACUGGAAUUUCUUGUGUAGGAGUGAAAUCCGUAGAUAUAAGAAGGAACACCAAUGGCGUAGGCAGGUUACUGGACCAUUUCUGACACUGAGGCACGAAAGCGUGGGGAGCGAACGGG